RNAcentral lists this ribosomal RNA (501 nucleotides) under uncultured bacterium. Its description in RNAcentral is "bacterial SSU rRNA". It matches the Rfam family "Bacterial small subunit ribosomal RNA", at positions 28 to 526 of the family's 1533-position model. The record is from RNAcentral.
GAUGAACGCUAGCGGCAGGCCUAAUACAUGCAAGUCGAACGGUAAGUAUUUUAGCAAUAGAAUACGAGAGUGACGUACGGGUGCGUAACACGUAUGCAACCUACCCUUUACAGGAGGAUAGCUCGGGGAAACUCGAAUUAACCCUCCAUGAGAUCACAGUGUGGCAUCACACAGUGAUUAAAACUCCGGUGGUAAAGGAUGGGCAUGCGUCUGAUUAGUUAGUUGGCGGGGUAACGGCCCACCAAGACGAUGAUCAGUAGGGGAACUGAGAGGUUGAUCCCCCACACUGGCACUGAGAUACGGGCCAGACUCCUACGGGAGGCAGCAGUAGGGAAUAUUGGUCAAUGGAUGGAAGUCUGAACCAGCCAUGCCGCGUGCAGGAAGAAGGCCUUCUGGGUUGUAAACUGCUUUUGCCAGGGGAUAAAAAGACCAUGCGUGGUUAAUUGAAGGUACCUGGUGAAUAAGCCACGGCUAACUACGUGCCAGCAGCCGCGGUAAUAC